GUCUAUGGCCAUGCCACCCUGAACAAGUCCGAUCCCGUCUGAUCUCGGAAGCUAAGCAGGGUCGGGCCUGGUUAGUACUUGGAUGGGAGAACACCUAGGAGGACCAGGUGCUGUAGGUG
Pteropus alecto (black flying fox) is the source of this 119-nucleotide non-coding RNA. The record is from Rfam. NCBI's taxonomy places the organism in Eukaryota, Metazoa, Chordata, Mammalia, Chiroptera, Pteropodidae.